This 492-nucleotide ribosomal RNA is filed under the name uncultured bacterium. RNAcentral's name for it is "partial 16S ribosomal RNA". It matches the Rfam family "Bacterial small subunit ribosomal RNA", at positions 29 to 507 of the family's 1533-position model. The record is from RNAcentral.
AGUGAACGCUGGCGGUAGGCCUAACACAUGCAAGUCGAACGGCAGCACAGUAAGAGCUUGCUCUUACGGGUGGCGAGUGGCGGACGGGUGCGGAAUACAUCGGAAUCUACUUUUUCGUGGGGGAUAACGUAGGGAAACUUACGCUAAUACCGCAUACGACCUACGGGUGAAAGCAGGGGAUCUUCGGACCUUGCGCGUUUGAAUGAGCCGAUGUCGGAUUAGCUAGUUGGCGGGGUAAAGGCCCACCAAGGCGACGAUCCGUAGCUGGUCUGAGAGGAUGAUCAGCCACGCUGGAACUGAGACACGGUCCAGACUCCUACGGGAGGCAGCAGUGGGGAAUAUUGGACAAUGGGCGCAAGCCUGAUCCAGCCAUACCGCGUAGAUGAAGAAGGCCUUCGGGUUGUAAAGCCCUUUUGUUGGGAAAGAAAAGCAGCAGGUUAAUACCCCGCUGUUCUGACGGUACCCAAAGAAUAAGCACCGGCUAACUUCGUG